RNAcentral lists this ribosomal RNA (489 nucleotides) under uncultured bacterium. RNAcentral describes it as "partial 16S ribosomal RNA". It matches the Rfam family "Bacterial small subunit ribosomal RNA", at positions 28 to 507 of the family's 1533-position model. The record is from RNAcentral.
GACGAACGCUGGCGGCGUGCUUAACACAUGCAAGUCGAACGGUGAAGGGACCAGCUUGCUGGUUCUGGAUGAGUGGCGAACGGGUGAGUAACACGUGAGUAACCUGCCCCCUUCUUCUGGAUAACCGCAUGAAAGUGUGGCUAAUACGGGAUAUUCUGGGUCUGUCGCAUGGCGGGCCCGGGAAAGAUAUUGCUUCGGUGGGGGAUGGGCUCGCGGCCUAUCAGCUUGUUGGUGGGGUGAUGGCCUACCAAGGCGGGGACGGGUAGCCGGCCUGAGAGGGGGGACGGUCACACUGGGACUGGGACACGGCCCAGACUCCUACGGGAGGCAGCAGUGGGGAAUAUUGCACAGUGGGCGCAAGCCUGAUGCAGCGACGCCGCGUGAGGGAUGGAGGCCUUCGGGUUGUAAACCUCUUUCGCCAGUGAAGCAGGCCUGCUCCUUGUGGGUGGGUUGACGGUAGCUGGAUAAGAAGCGCCGGCUAACUACGUG